GAUGAACGCUAGCGGCAGGCCUAAUACAUGCAAGUCGGACGGGAUCCAUUGAUAGCUUGCUAUCAAUGGUGAGAGUGGCGCACGGGUGCGUAACGCGUGAGCAACCUGCCUCCAUCAGGGGGAUAGCCUCUCGAAAGAGAGAUUAACACCGCAUAAUAUCAACAGUUCGCAUGUUCAGUUGAUUAAAUAUUUAUAGGAUGGAGAUGGGCUCGCGUGACAUUAGCUAGUUGGUAGGGUAACGGCUUACCAAGGCGACGAUGUCUAGGGGCUCUGAGAGGAGAAUCCCCCACACUGGUACUGAGACACGGACCAGACUCCUACGGGAGGCAGCAGUAAGGAAUAUUGGUCAAUGGGCGGGAGCCUGAACCAGCCAUGCCGCGUGCAGGAUGACUGCCCUAUGGGUUGUAAACUGCUUUUGUCCAGGAAUAAACCUAAAUACGAGUAUUUAGCUGAAUGUACUGGAAGAAUAAGGAUCGGCUAACUCCGUG
This 488-nucleotide ribosomal RNA is filed under the name uncultured bacterium. RNAcentral's name for it is "partial 16S ribosomal RNA". It matches the Rfam family "Bacterial small subunit ribosomal RNA", at positions 28 to 507 of the family's 1533-position model. The record is from RNAcentral.